RNAcentral lists this ribosomal RNA (1451 nucleotides) under Saccharum spontaneum (wild sugarcane). RNAcentral describes it as "bacterial SSU rRNA". It matches the Rfam family "Bacterial small subunit ribosomal RNA". The record is from RNAcentral. Lineage: Eukaryota; Viridiplantae; Streptophyta; Magnoliopsida; Poales; Poaceae.
AGGUUCGAUCCUGGCUCAGGAUGAACGCUGGCGGCAUGCUUAACACAUGCAAUUCGAACGGGAAGUGGUGGUUCCAGUGGCGACGGGUGAGUAACCGCGUAGAACCUGCCCUUGGGAGGGGACAACACUGAAACGGUUGCUAAUACUCCCGUAGCUAGGAGUCAAAGGAGAAAUGCCGCUCCAAGGAUGGGCUCGCUUCCUGAUUAGCUCGUUGGUGAGGCAAUAGCUUACCAGGCGAUGAUCAGUAGAUGGUCCGAGAGAUGAUCAGCCACCUGACUGAACAACGGCCCGACUCCUACGGGAUGCAGCUUGGGGAAUUUUCCGCAUGGGCCGAAAUCCUGACGGAGCAUGCCGCGUGGAGUGGAAGGCCUACGGGUCGUCAAACUUCUUCUCGGAGAGAAACAAUGACGGUAUCAUCUGAGGAAUAAGCAAUCGGCUAACUCUGUGCCAGCAGCCGGGUAAGACAGAGAUGCAAGCGUUAUCCGUAAUGAUUGGGGCGUAAAGCGUCUGUAGGUGCUUUUUCAAGUCCGCGUCAAAUCCAGGCGCAACCCUGGACAGGCGGUGUAACUACCAAGCUUGAGUAACGGUGGGGCAGAGGGGAAUUUCGGUGGAGCGGUGAAUGCAUUGAGAAUCGGAAGAAACACCCAACGGGCGAGCACUCUGCUGGGCCGACACUGACACUGAAGACGAAAGCUAGGGGAGCAAAUGGAAUUAGAGACCCCAGUAGUCCUAGCGCGUAAACGAUGGUCUACAGGAGUGCUGGGCGACUCGACCCGUGCAGUGCUGUAGCUUACGCUUUAUCUCCCCGCCUGGGGAGUACGUUCGCAAAAUGAACCUCAAAGGAAUUGACGGGGGCCCUCACAAGCGUGGAGCAUGUGUUUAAUUCGAUGCAAACGAAGAACCUUACCAGGGCUUGACAUGGCCGCGAAUCUCUUUAAAGAUAGGGGUUCCUCGGAACUUGCGAACAGUGGUGCAUGGCUUCGUCGCUCGUGCCGUAAGUGUGGGGUUAAAAGUUUCGCACGAGCGCAACCCUCGUGUUAGUUUCCAAUAUGAGUUUGGAACCCUGAACAGACCGCCGGUGUUAAGUCCGGAGGAAGGGAGAGGAUGAGGCCACGUCAUCAUGCCCCUUAUGCCCUGGGCGACAAAACACUUGUCUACAAAUGGGCGGACAAAGUGUCGCGAUCUCUGCGAGGGUGACUAACUCCAACCCGUCCUCAGUUCGGAAUUGCAGGCUGCAACUCGCCGCAUGAAGCAGGAAUCGCUUAGCAAUCGCCGGUCGUCCAGUACGGCGGUGAAUCCUUCCCGGUCCUUUUACACACCGCCCGGCAACACUAUAGGGCUGGCCAGGUUUUGAAAGUCAUUACCCUUAACCGUAAGAGGGGGAUGGCCUAAGGGCUCAGCUUUGCGAUGAUUGAAGUCCGUAACGGUAGCCGUACUGGAAGGUGCGGCUG